Molecule: ribosomal RNA, 253 nt
Filed under: uncultured bacterium
Lineage: Bacteria
Description: partial 16S ribosomal RNA
Rfam family: Bacterial small subunit ribosomal RNA
Source: RNAcentral
UACGGGGGGGGCAAGCGUUGUUCGGAAUUACUGGGCGUAAAGGGUUCGUAGGUGGCCAACUAAGUCAUACGUGAAAUCCCUCAGCUUAACUGGGGAACUGCGUCUGAUACUGGUUGGCUUGAGUGCAGGAGAGGAACGCGGGAUUCCAGGUGUAGCGGUGAAAUGCGUAGAUAUCUGGAGGAACACCGGUGGCGAAGGCGGCGUUCUGGACUGCAACUGACACUGAGGAACGAAAGCCAGGGGAGCAAACGGG